AUGCGCUCCUGCAUCCUGUGGCGUGGGGUCAGCAAAGGAUGGAUUCACAAAACCAGGACGUUUUGCAAGGGUGAAAUUCUCUACAUGUUGUGGGACAUCGGGAAGUCUGAACAGAGCCCGGCACUCACAGGGGGCUGCCCCAAGCACUCUCCGGUUCCCCCCACUUUGGCUGGAGCGGAGCCUUGGAGGCAUCCAUCCAUACUGCUCGAACAGCCUUUAGGUUUUGCCGUUAUUUUAGAACAGGUGGGAGGUGAUGGAUUCCCCCAGACAGUUCUCCUUUCUGAGUGUCACGUCUUCACACAAACACGCACCAUCAGUCCUCCAGCCUGGGGUGCCUGUGAUGCACUGAAAUAAUGUGCUCCAAGGAAGAGGAUAAUCUCCUACAUGGUGCCUAUCUUGCUACUCCAGUGUUCUCACGUCCUGACAACAAUUGGCAAUAGAAUAAGAGUUACUGAGGAAUUAUUUGACAUCUUUGUGAAUUUGGUGCUCCAGUUGGAGACAGUCAGCUACGUGCUGAGACAAGAUGCACAGAAUGGCUGAGAACUGCUAAAACCAGAGUUUCCUUCAGAACUUACCUGAUGCGAUGCAGCUUUUAGUGCAUAACAUGCAUUUUAUAUAUCUAUCUAAUGAAAAACCUUUGAUAAGAGCAUGUUUCUGUGUUUUAGAGUGAUUAUGUAUUAGUGUUUUAUUGUUCCCAUAUAUGUGAAAUUCUUUGGAGAAGAUUGGCAUAGUUCCUACAGAAUCAGUCUUCUGAGGUGAGCAUACAGCACAGAAAGCAAGUAUGGCAGAGCAGGAGGUCUGUUGUAAGACUGUUAUAGCAUGUACGUAUAUAUAUAGAUAGAUAUAUACACAUAUAUGUUUGGAAGACUCACACAGCCCUUUCUAUUGCUCCCCUGCUCUGUUUCAAGCACCCACCUGCAGCAUGAAUAACUCCAUGAAUGAUUGUUGCUAUAACUGUAAGUUCAGGUCACUGAGUUUGUGAUGUGUAAGGUCUAUCUUCUGUGUCUUUUAGGUAAUAAUUAUUUUUAUAUGGUGUAAAAAAGUAUUGUGAGGCUUGCUUCCUAUGUUUAUAUGACGUAUGAAAUUCUUGUGUAGACUGACCACUAUGACAAAACAUUAUGAAUCACUUCAUUUACUGACGAAAUGGAGAUUCUCAUGAUUAAUGACGAAAUGGAGGAAAAAAGAUUGUACCUGCCAGAAACUUUUCUCUGGUGGGCACAAUGUCAUUUCUCUGUUUGGGUUUUGCUAGGACACCAAAUGUAAUGCCUUUGUGGUGGGUUUACCUUACCAGGCCCCACCACACCGUUCUCUUACUCCUUUUUCUCCAUAGGACAGAAGGAGAAAAAGCAAGAUGGAAAAGGUCAUGGGCUGAGAUAAAGACGGGGACAUCACUUAUCAAUUACCAUCAUGGGCAAAACAGACUUGGACAGACUUGGCUUGGUGAAGAUUAAUUUAAUUUAUUACCAAUUAGAAGUAGAGUAAUAUACUGGGAAAUAAAGUCAAAACUACAGAAACCUUCCCCA
Molecule: long non-coding RNA, 1523 nt
Filed under: Anas platyrhynchos platyrhynchos (common mallard)
Lineage: Eukaryota; Metazoa; Chordata; Aves; Anseriformes; Anatidae
Description: lncRNA (ENSAPLG00000030256.1)
Source: RNAcentral